Molecule: ribosomal RNA, 273 nt
Filed under: uncultured Pseudomonas sp.
Lineage: Bacteria; Pseudomonadati; Pseudomonadota; Gammaproteobacteria; Pseudomonadales; Pseudomonadaceae
Description: partial 16S ribosomal RNA
Rfam family: Bacterial small subunit ribosomal RNA
Source: RNAcentral
CCUUAGUUACCAGCACGUUAUGUGGGCGACUCUAAGGAGACUGCCGGUGACAAACCGGAGGAAGUGGGGAUGACGUCAAGUCAUCAUGGCCCUUACGGCCUGGGCUACACACGUGCUACAAUGGUCGGUACAAAGGGUUGCCAAGCCGCGAGGUGGAGCUAAUCCCAUAAAACCGAUCGUAGUCCGGAUCGCAGUCUGCAACUCGACUGCGUGAAGUCGGAAUCGCUAGUAAUCGUGAAUCAGAAUGUCACGGUGAAUACGUUCCCGGGCCUU